CCUGCCCUUCAGAGGGGGACAACAGUUGGAAACGACUGCUAAUACCGCAUACGAUCUAACCUUGGCAUCGAGGAUGGAUGAAAGGUGGCCUCUAUUUAUAAGCUAUCACUGAAGGAGGGGAUUGCGUCUGAUUAGCUAGUUGGAGGGGUAACGGCCCACCAAGGCGAUGAUCAGUAGCCGGUCUGAGAGGAUGAACGGCCACAUUGGGACUGAGACACGGCCCAGACUCCUACGGGAGGCAGCAUG
RNAcentral lists this ribosomal RNA (246 nucleotides) under uncultured bacterium. Its description in RNAcentral is "partial 16S ribosomal RNA". It matches the Rfam family "Bacterial small subunit ribosomal RNA", at positions 125 to 353 of the family's 1533-position model. The record is from RNAcentral.